GCUGGGUGCCGUGGUGCGUGCCUGUAGUCCCAGCUACUCAGGAGGCUGAGACAGGAUUGCUUGAGUCCAGGAGUUCUGGGCUGUAGUGCGCUAUGUCAAUCGGGUGUCUGCAUUAAGUUUGGCAUCAAUAUGGUGACCUCCUGGGAGCAGGGGACCACCAGGUUGCCUAAGGAGGGGUGUACCGGCCCAGGUCGGAAACAGAAUGGGUCAAAGCUCCUGUGCUAAUCAGUAGUGGGAUGGCACCUGUGAAUAGCCACUGAACUCCAGCCUGGACAAGAUAGUGAGACCCUGUCUCUU
This is a non-coding RNA of Otolemur garnettii (small-eared galago), 297 nucleotides long. The record is from Rfam. Lineage: Eukaryota; Metazoa; Chordata; Mammalia; Primates; Galagidae.